GAGUUUGAUCAUGGCUCAGAUUGAACGCUGGCGGCAGGCCUAACACAUGCAAGUCGAGCGGUAACAGGAGAAGCUUGCUUCUCGCUGACGAGCGGCGGACGGGUGAGUAAUGUAUGGGGAUCUGCCCGAUAGAGGGGGAUAACCACUGGAAACGGUGGCUAAUACCGCAUAAUCUCUAAGGAGCAAAGCAGGGGAACUUCGGUCCUUGCGCUAUCGGAUGAACCCAUAUGGGAUUAGCUAGUAGGUGAGGUAAUGGCUCACCUAGGCGACGAUCCCUAGCUGGUCUGAGAGGAUGAUCAGCCACACUGGGACUGAGACACGGCCCAGACUCCUACGGGAGGCAGCAGUGGGGAAUAUUGCACAAUGGGCGCAAGCCUGAUGCAGCCAUGCCGCGUGUAUGAAGAAGGCCUUAUGGCUGUAAAGUACUCCUCAGCCCGAAGUACUGCGUUGACGCUAAUAUCAUCUCCGGAACGACCUUGCCGAGCGAUCAACCUUUGGCUUUCUCCUUGCCAUUAAACCAGGUCAUUCGGACAUUGCAAAAAC
RNAcentral lists this non-coding RNA (543 nucleotides) under Providencia sneebia DSM 19967. Its description in RNAcentral is "Bacterial small subunit ribosomal RNA". It matches the Rfam family "Bacterial small subunit ribosomal RNA", at positions 9 to 539 of the family's 1533-position model. The record is from Rfam by way of RNAcentral. Lineage: Bacteria; Pseudomonadati; Pseudomonadota; Gammaproteobacteria; Enterobacterales; Morganellaceae.